This 506-nucleotide unclassified non-coding RNA is filed under the name uncultured Entrophospora. RNAcentral's name for it is "SSU rRNA". It matches the Rfam family "Eukaryotic small subunit ribosomal RNA", at positions 591 to 1092 of the family's 1831-position model. The record is from RNAcentral. Lineage: Eukaryota; Fungi; Glomeromycota; Glomeromycetes; Entrophosporales; Entrophosporaceae.
CCAAUAGCGUAUAUUAAAGUUGUUGCAGUUAAAAAGCUCGUAGUUGAAUUUCGGGAUUGACGUGAUGGUCGUGCCUUACGGGGUAUGAACUGUCGCAGUUGAUUUCUCACCUUCUGGAGAAGCUCGAUUUCCUUAAUUGGGUGUCUUGCGGAACCAGGACCUUUACCUUGAAAAAAUUAGAGUGUUUAAAGCAGGCAUUUUGCUCGAAUACAUUAGCAUGGAAUAAUAGAAUAGGACGGCAUGGUUCUAUUUUGUUGGUUUCUAGGAUCACCGUAAUGAUUAAUAGGGAUAGUUGGGGGCAUUAGUAUUCAAUUGUCAGAGGUGAAAUUCUUGGAUUUAUUGAAGACUAACUACUGCGAAAGCAUUUGCCAAGGAUGUUUUCAUUAAUCAGGAACGAAAGUUAGGGGAUCGAAGACGAUCAGAUACCGUCGUAGUCUUAACCAUAAACUAUGCCGACUAGGAAUCAGACGAUGUUAAUUUUUUAAUGACUCGUUUGGCACCUUACG